UUGAUCCUGCCGGACCCGACUGCUAUCAGGGUGGGACUAAGCCAUGCGAGUCAACGCAGCAAUGCGUGGCACACGGCUCAGUAACACGUAGUCAACAUGCCCAGGGGACGUGGAUAACCUCGGGAAACUGAGGAUAAACCGCGAUAGGCCAAGGUUUCUGGAAUGGACACUGGCUCAAACCUAUAUGGCCCCUGGAUUGGACUGCGGCCGAUCAGGCUGUUGGUGAGGUAAUGGCCCACCAAACCUGUAACCGGUACGGGCUUUGAGAGAAGGAGCCCGGAGAUGGGCACUGAGACAAGGGCCCAGGCCCUAUGGGGCGCAGCAGGCGCGAAAAUUCUGCAAUAGGCGAAAGCUUGACAGAGUUACUCUGAGUGAUGCCCGCUAAGGGCAUCUUUUGGCACCUCUAAAAAUGGUGCAGAAUAAGGGGUGGGCAAGUCUGGUGUCAGCCGCCGCGGUAAUACCAGCACCCCGAGUGGUCGGGACGAUUAUUGGGCCUAAAGCAUCCGUAGCUUGUUCUGCAAGUCUUCCGUUAAAUCCACCUGCUCGACAGAUGGGCUGCGGGAGAUACUACAGGGCUAGGAGGCGGGAGAGGCAAGCGGUACUCAGUGGGUAGGGGUAAAAUCCUCUGAUCCACUGAAGACCACCAGUGGCGAAGGCGGCUUGCCAGAACGCGCUCGACGGUGAGGGAUGAAAGCUGGGGGAGCAAACCGGAUUAGAUACC
RNAcentral lists this ribosomal RNA (721 nucleotides) under uncultured Nitrososphaerota archaeon. RNAcentral's name for it is "bacterial SSU rRNA". It matches the Rfam family "Archaeal small subunit ribosomal RNA", at positions 8 to 737 of the family's 1478-position model. Lineage: Archaea; Thermoproteati; Nitrososphaerota. The record is from RNAcentral.